This 65-nucleotide transfer RNA is filed under the name Nodopelta heminoda. Its description in RNAcentral is "tRNA-Gly". The record is from RNAcentral. Lineage: Eukaryota; Metazoa; Mollusca; Gastropoda; Neomphalida; Peltospiridae.
GCCUUUUGAGUAUGUGUAGUAUAGUUGCCUUCCAAGCAGCAGGAUUAAUAAAUUUAAAAAAGGUA